ACGGGUGAGUAAUGUCUGGGGAUCUGCCCGAUAGAGGGGGAUAACCACUGGAAACGGUGGCUAAUACCGCAUAACGUCGCAAGACCAAAGAGGGGGACCUUCGGGCCUCUCACUAUCGGAUGAACCCAGAUGGGAUUAGCUAGUAGGCGGGGUAACGGCCCACCUAGGCGACGAUCCCUAGCUGGUCUGAGAGGAUGACCAGCCACACUGGAACUGAGACACGGUCCAGACUCCUACGGGAGGCAGCAGUGGGGAAUAUUGCACAAUGGGCGCAAGCCUGAUGCAGCCAUGCCGCGUGUAUGAAGAAGGCCUUCGGGUUGUAAAGUAUUUUCAGCGGGGAGGAAGGCGAUGUGGUUAAUAACCGCGUCGAUUGACGUUACCCGCAGAAGAAGCACCGGCUAACUCCGUGCCAGCAGCCGCGGUAAUACGGAGGGUGCAAGCGUUAAUCGGAAUUACCGGGCGUAAAGCGCACGCAGGCGGUCUGUUAAGUCAGAUGUGAAAUCCCCGGGCUUAACCUGGGAACUGCAUUUGAAACUGGCAGGCUUGAGUCUCGUAGAGGGGGGUAGAAUUCCAGGUGUAGC
RNAcentral lists this ribosomal RNA (581 nucleotides) under uncultured bacterium. RNAcentral describes it as "bacterial SSU rRNA". It matches the Rfam family "Bacterial small subunit ribosomal RNA", at positions 102 to 679 of the family's 1533-position model. The record is from RNAcentral.